Engraulis encrasicolus (European anchovy) is the source of this 1365-nucleotide long non-coding RNA. RefSeq lists it as uncharacterized. NCBI's taxonomy places the organism in Eukaryota, Metazoa, Chordata, Actinopteri, Clupeiformes, Engraulidae. The transcript has 2 exons. The record is from RefSeq and is a predicted model, not a curated record.
GUCAUCGCGGUGGUAGCUAGCUAGCAGACGCUGUGUUUUUGAUGCUGUCGAGUGCAGCGUUGGCACGCCGCUCUCUCUGUCCCUCCAGUUUGUGGUUGAGCCAUCGUACGGGAAAGGUAGGCGUCCUUCUCGGUUGAUUCAUUGCUCUUUUGGUGCAUUGUAAUGUACUUAGUUUGUUGGUUACUGACGCCAUUUAACUUAAUCGCAGCCCUGUCCAUCCGCAACUGGCGUGAACCCAGCUGGCAGUCGGCUACUGUUCUGGAGCUUGUAUGCCGAGCUCGGCAAACUCGAGGUAAAGUUGCGGUCCGUACGUUUCUCUCAUGUGUUAUGCGAACGUAGUCUCUGUUGUGACUGAUGUAAUGUUACUCUAUCGCAGUAUCACUGGUGGCGUGCUUCCACUUCGUGCCCUUUGUGGUUGACUACUUGCGUGCCGCUUCGAGAGAACCAAAGGUAAUGUCGUGUUUUCUCUGUCGGCAUGUGCCUGAAUCUGGCAUUUUUUUAUUUAGCGUUUAUUGAUUUGACUUGCAUGUGCCACAGUUUCCUUGAUGCACGGUACCCAGCUGGAACCCGGCGUGACCCAUAUCCCGACUUGCGCUUGGCAGACCUGAUCUGGAGGAGGAGUUGGUGCCUUCGACUACACUGAUGCAGUAUCACUAGAGAAGGGGGGCAUUACUGUUCUUUUCCCAACCUUUUGUUUUGUUUUUGUCCUAUUGUGAAAGUGAUUUAUCCUAUGCAGCCUUUCACUUUGUAACGUCCGAGACGAAGGGGCUCGUGUAAGUUUCACUCUAACAUCCAAGACGAAGGGGCUUGUGUAAUUUUCACUCUAACAUCCAAGACGAAGGGGCUUGUGUAAUUUUCACUCUAACAUCCGAGACGAAGGGGCUCGUGUACGUUUCUACUUAGUAACUGCCAAGACGGAGCUUGUGUAUAUGAUUAGGGUAUGAACACUGAAGUAUUACUGGGAGACGCAUCUUAAACCCCAGACUCCUUUUUGGAACCUGUACUUGCUGUAGGGAGAGACCAAAUACGUGUGUCUAACAAGUGUGUGUGUGUGUGUGUGCGGUGGCCAUUACCAAUUUUGCCCUUUUGGCAGUUUUGUUUUCUUUUGUUAUCAGUGUGGGAAUUUUGUGUUAUUUUGGUUUGUUAUUUUUUUAUUUUGAUUUACUAACUCUGUUUGCAGUGCAAUUUUUUGUUUGGUCUACCUCUCGUGCAACUAGCACAUUUGCACAAUUUUGUAUUGAGAUGACGUGCCUUUAAAUAUUGUGAAAAGUUCAUAUUCUAUUUUUAUAUUGUACUGAGCCCAUGAGGCAUAUUUGACACAGAGACUCAUUACGAGAAAGAAAAUAAAAAGAACUCUGAAUUGUA